Molecule: long non-coding RNA, 295 nt
Filed under: Elaeis guineensis (African oil palm)
Lineage: Eukaryota; Viridiplantae; Streptophyta; Magnoliopsida; Arecales; Arecaceae
Description: long non-coding RNA (EGUI_LNC067460)
Source: RNAcentral
GGAGGAGUCCCAUUCCGAUUUCGAUAUCAAUCUAUAUAGAACUCAAUCCCUACUCUCCUCUAUGGAUUCAAUUUUUCAUUCUAAUUUCGAUUCCGAUUUCGAUUCCGAUAACGAACCAAACGCUUCGGAGAUUUAGCCAUUCUGAUUCUGAUUCCAAGUUAUUCCCAUUCUCAUUCCCAUUUUGAUUUCAGUUACGAACCAAAUGUCUUCUAAAUGCGUUAUUAAAUACGUAUUGGAAGGCGAUGGCUACGUGCUCCAACAUGAUUGAGCUUCACAUCAUUUUCAUUACACCGCA